UAACGAGGAAGAAAAGUUAUUCAUUCUAGUCAGACCAGCAUAUGUUUUUUGUUCAUGAAUGUGCCUCCAUGAUUACUUAAACCAGAGUUACCUACCGUUUUAUUCUCUUUUUUUUUUUUGUUUACACAUUGAGUAUUUACUAUGUGUCCAAAGCUAGGGAUGAAUAUGUAAUCUCACUUUGCUCACAACCUACUGGAAUACCUUUAACAACCACUUUAUAGGAUUAUCUAAUACAUAAUCUAUUUCUAAUAAAGAAUAAAUAAAAGACUUUAUAAUGGAGUAGUUAAUUUUGCUGGCACAAACUAGGAAAAAUGUAAAGAAAAAAGAUAUUUCAGACGGGGGUAAUAGAAGUUGUACAAGUACGAGAACUCCAUUGAGUAAAUGUGGUUGUGUCUCCUAAUUAAUAACAGACAAUUUAAAAAAAAGAUACCAGAUAUUCCUUUAGGCCAGAUGAAGAAUAGUUUGAACACUCUGCAUUGUAGUGUAGUCCUACAGAGAAUUUUCUUCUAAUAGCAAUUGGUUCUGUGCUUUGGGUUAGUUUUCCAUUAGUGUUGACAGUUUGAUAUUUCUCUGUCCAUUCUUGCUGACCACAUUCCCUUUAUGAUAGUCUAUAGAAAUAUUAACUGGUUGGGCAAGAGGAAGAUGCCAUCUGCAGUCAUUAAACACAAGUUGCCUUCUUUGGGCAAGACCUCUCCCCACUCCUCAGCCUCUUCAGGGACACACAUUAUAAGUCUCCAUUUAAGACCAGAACAAUAUGGAGUCAUUUUAAUCUUGUUUCCUUUUCUUCUCAAAUCAAUUACUAGCACUUGUCCAUAGGAAAAACACCAUAGAGUUAGAUUGACCCCAGUAGAAAUCCUGGGUUGGCUACUUCUGACUAAUAAUGUUACUUAUUUCUCUCAGAUGAUUUCCUCAACCAGAGAGUGAAAUGGGAUUACUUCCUUACACAGUUGGCAUCAUGAUCCUAGGAAACUGCACAAACAAAAAGUGGCAGUUGGUGCACAAUUUUUAUGUUCGCAUUUCCCUUUACUUUUAUAGUAAUGCAUUUGUAAUUGAAGCAAUCCAUGUGAUAAACUAACCCUAUCCUAAAGCUAUUGCUACUACCCAUUAGAUUAAGACAUUCUUGGUGGCCCUUUAACACUUACCACAACUUCAGUAAUCUUAUGUUAAUUUGACCUCUGAAAUCCAGGGGGUAGUGACCUGACAACCAUAGUCUUAGGUCCCUGCGGACACCCAAUUUUUCAAUCAGGAACAUGAACUCUAAAUCAAGAGAUUAAGUCAACUUUAUGUUCCUCCACCGGGCUGCAGACAUGUGGCUUAUGUGAAAUAGAUGCUGAAUUCCUGUUAAAAAAUAACUUUUAUAUACCCAUCUUCCUUCUCCAACCCUAAGCAGGUGACAGCCUGUGGCUGGGAAUUGCUAUAAGGCACCAACUCUCUCCAAUACAAUGAACGUGUGAAAAAAAAUGAAGGAAGGUUGUGUUUAUUCUCAUCAGCACUUAUGCCAGCAGAUUACUCUCUCCUUUCUUCCCUACACUGUGUCUCUCCCCAUCUUCCCUUCUGUAUUUAAGAGGAAUGAAAGCAAGACUCUGCCGAUUUCUUUUGAGUUUGAUUAUUCUGACUGCUAGGCACCUGCUUUCUGCUUCUCCUUUUGGGUAGAAAGCAUUAAGCCUCUCUUCCAUUUGCUUUAAGAUGCUUUAACAGUCAUGUCAGUAGGAUGUAAUUAAAAAAGACAAGAACAGCAGGGAAAAUGCCAGACAAUUACUGGGAGACAGUGGGUAAAAACAAGGUAGAGACAAACUAGUUUGUAUCAAAAGGAAUUCUGAUUACCGCCAUAGUUAUUAUUGGUAUUUAACAUUUACUGAGCACCAACAUGGCGUUACACACUGUACAGAACAUAGAAUUAGACCCUUUUCUAGCCAGAAAGUAUAUUUAAAGAGCUGUGAGCUACUUCCAAAGCUGCUAGUCACAGACGAUAUUCUCUUGUGAGGAGGAUUGGAGGUUUGAGUUUUUAAAAGGAAAUAAAUGAGAUAAUAGAGUAAAAAAUGCUUUUAGUGAGCACCCAAUACAGAUUAGUUAUACUAAGGGGGAAGGGAGGCCAAUAAUUCACAACAGCAUUGGGUCUCCAAGUGGAGGUGCUGGCCUCCUUCUUAUAUAAAAAGCUGAAUUCUUCAAAAUGUGCCUUCCUUUCAUGAAAAUGCCCUGCAAAAUACUGUGCUAGUUUUUCCUGAGAAAAUGUUGAAUCCUCUUUCAAAGCGCUCAAACAAUGUUACCAAAUGUAAAUAUUUAACCCUAGAUAGGCCAGAUAAUUUUGGAAGUCUCUUGACUUGGCAAAAGUGUAUCUUUUUUUCUCUCUGUGGAUCCUAUACCUGGAAGAGUAUCUGGAAAAUAAUAGGUGGUGAUAGAAUGAGUUAGGAAUAAAUAAAUGAAAAUAUUUUUAAAUAAUCGAACUAAUCAAAAACUUGUGUUCUAAAUGUUCCACACGGAAAGCUAUUUAAAACACAUACACAUUUUAGCCAGCCAUACCAAGCCUCGACAGUGCCAUGAAAUGUGAUACAUGCAUGUGGGAGUGAUAUGACAUGUGAGAGCCAAGAAAUCUUCUUUCUGUUAUGUUUGCUAUUAACCCCACUCUUGUUUAAAUCUGGUUAGUUUGCAUUUAUCUGGUUACUUUGAGACAUGAACUCAUUCUUAUAAGUGUAUUUUCAGACAAAUAAAACUCUCUAAAGUCUUGAAACUAUUUUGGAUGGCUAUCUUUCCAAAAUAUGUAUACAUUGCCUUUCUUUCAGAGGCACAGCAUAUUCUGUUCAGUUUUGAUCUGCACAUUCUUGGAGAAAUGUUGGAAAAUUGGAGCAGAUUUAGAAAAUAACUUUCCACAAGCUUCACAGCCCAGGCCACAGAUCCUGAGCUUGUUACCUUCCCAGCCUGCAACUCUGAGACACUGAAAAUUCAAAAUUCCAAUCUGGUAUUCCAGGUGGUUUAUAGGAUGUUUGUCUAGAAUCUGCAAAAGAUAGGCUAGGCCUGUACUUGUCAACAUGAGCUAUCCUCAAAACAACAGAGAAGAAAAGAGUGUGAUUAUAAACUCCGUCAUUACAAGUGACCUUCUUUCUCUCCAUUUCCUUUAAGAGAGAGAGCAUAAGGAAAGGGCAGAGGGAAAAGGAGAGAAUCCCAAGCAGGCU
Molecule: long non-coding RNA, 3170 nt
Organism: Canis lupus familiaris (dog)
Lineage: Eukaryota; Metazoa; Chordata; Mammalia; Carnivora; Canidae
Exons: 3
Source: RefSeq, a predicted model, not a curated record